Malaya genurostris is the source of this 1243-nucleotide long non-coding RNA. RefSeq lists it as uncharacterized. Lineage: Eukaryota; Metazoa; Arthropoda; Insecta; Diptera; Culicidae. The record is from RefSeq and is a predicted model, not a curated record. The transcript is spliced from 2 exons.
GUGACAACGUGGAGUCGCCAAAGUACGGAUGAAAAUCCUUACUUUCUCGCGAAAUACUCAAAUUUUCACCGCACUCACACAACGUGUUCACUCGUUGAAGGUUUCACCAGAAGUGGCAUUCAUCCUUGACAGCUCAGUGAGAGCGAGCCUACUCGAGCGUCUGGUCCCCAAUUUGGGGCGGUCUGUUCUCCAUGUUAGGAGCAGCUGAUUACCGUCCUUGUCUAAACAGUGCUGACACGAUGGCGCUCCGGCGAGACAGGAGGUUGGUGCAGGCCUAACAAGCCGAACAAGAAAGAACGAGUCGAGGAACGACUCGGAAUAAUCGGCAAAGACCUACGCAACGAACAAAGGACCACGAUUGGAAGCUUAGCAAAUGGAACUGCAAAUCGCUUGGCUUCCCAGGAUACAACCGAAUGCUGCAUGAUGAGCUUCAAAUGCGCGGCUUCGAAAUCGUAGCACUGCAGAAACUUUGUUGGACAGGAUAGAAGGAGUAAAAAGUGAGCAGCGAGCGGCUACCUUCUACCAGAGCUGUGGCACAAACAGCGUUCUACAAUGCGUAAACUUUGCAGCCUCCCGGAGAAUGUUCGAAGCACCUUCUUCCCCGCAAAGAUAUCCACAAAGCCACCUGGAGAUCACCUGAUCAACGGAAAAUCAAAUCGACCACGUUCUCAUCGACUGGCGUUUCUUCUCCGACGUCAUCAAUAUCCGCACUUACCGCAGUGCCAACAUUGAUUCUAACCACUACCUUGUCGCGGUUUGUUUGCGCUCAAAACUAUCGACGGUACACAACACUCGUCGCACAGGAACGCCGGGACUCAACCUAGAGCAGCUACGUAGCGUUCGUACUGCAGAGGAAUACGCGCAACAACUGGAGCAAGUGCUACCAACGGAAGAGAAGCUUGGCGCGGCGACUCUUGAAGAUGACUGGAGGAACAUAAGGUCCGCCGUGAGUAGCACUGCUGCAACCGUACUAAUGUCAGCAGUUGGUCGAAGAGAAGAAUGCAGCAAGGGCGAGGAUGCUGCAACACCGCACGAAAGUAAAGGAGGAACGAUACAGACAGGCGUGGAACAGGAACAGACAGAACACGGGUUUCCGGUGGAAAAAGCGCCACUAGGAAGACAAAUAUGCCAUUUUAAAAUCUGUGUUUCAACUUGAAAAAUCUGUGUUGUAUAUUUUCGAUCAUAAUCUGUGAAAAACAUUUUGAAAAUCUGUCAUUUUUAUGAAAUAUAUUCAUAAAAAUUU